RNAcentral lists this transfer RNA (73 nucleotides) under bacterium HR19. RNAcentral's name for it is "tRNA-Ala". It matches the Rfam family "tRNA". From Rfam's summary of the family: Transfer RNA (tRNA) molecules are approximately 80 nucleotides in length. The record is from RNAcentral.
GGGGCCGUAGCUCAGAGGGAGAGCGCCGGUAUGGCACGCCGGAGGUCGGGGGUUCAAAUCCCCUCGGCUCCAC